CAAUAGCGUAUAUUAAAGUUGUUGCAGUUAAAAAGCUCGUAGUUGGAUUUGUGGCGUACGGUGUGUUCCGGGCACUUGUUGUCUGAGUAACCUGCUGUUGCCAUCCUUGGGUGGAACCUGUGUGGCAUUAGGUUGUCGUGCAGGGGAUGCCCAUCAUUUACUGUGAAAAAAUUAGAGUGUUCAAAGCAGGCUUAUGCCGUUGAAUAUAUUAGCAUGGAAUAAUGAGAUAGGACUUUUUUGCUAUUUUGUUGGUUUGCGCAAAGAGGUAAUGAUUAAUAGGGACAGUUGGGGGCAUUCGUAUUCCAUUGUCAGAGGUGAAAUUCUUGGAUUUUUGGAAGACGAACUACUGCGAAAGCAUUUACCAAGGAUGUUUUCAUUAA
RNAcentral lists this ribosomal RNA (380 nucleotides) under uncultured eukaryote. Its description in RNAcentral is "partial 18S ribosomal RNA". It matches the Rfam family "Eukaryotic small subunit ribosomal RNA", at positions 592 to 976 of the family's 1831-position model. The record is from RNAcentral.